This 571-nucleotide ribosomal RNA is filed under the name Klebsiella pneumoniae. Its description in RNAcentral is "bacterial SSU rRNA". It matches the Rfam family "Bacterial small subunit ribosomal RNA", at positions 961 to 1533 of the family's 1533-position model. The record is from RNAcentral. Lineage: Bacteria; Pseudomonadati; Pseudomonadota; Gammaproteobacteria; Enterobacterales; Enterobacteriaceae.
GCGAAGAACCUUACCUGGUCUUGACAUGUACGGAAUCCUCUGGAGACGGAGGAGUGCCUUCGGGAGCCGUAACACAGGUGCUGCAUGGCUGUCGUCAGCUCGUGUCGUGAGAUGUUGGGUUAAGUCCCGCAACGAGCGCAACCCUUGUCAUUAGUUGCCAUCAUUCAGUUGGGCACUCUAAUGAGACUGCCGGUGACAAGCCGGAGGAAGGUGGGGAUGACGUCAAGUCCUCAUGGCCCUUAUGACCAGGGCUUCACACGUCAUACAAUGGUCGGUACAGAGGGUAGCCAAGCCGCGAGGCGGAGCCAAUCUCACAAAACCGAUCGUAGUCCGGAUUGCACUCUGCAACUCGAGUGCAUGAAGUCGGAAUCGCUAGUAAUCGCAGGUCAGCAUACUGCGGUGAAUACGUUCCCGGGUCUUGUACACACCGCCCGUCACACCAUGGGAGUGGGGGAUACCAGAAGUAGGUAGGGUAACCGCAAGGAGUCCGCUUACCACGGUAUGCUUCAUGACUGGGGUGAAGUCGUAACAAGGUAGCCGUAGGGGAACCUGCGGCUGGAUCACCUCCUUU